UAGGGAAUCUUCGGCAAUGGGGGGAACCCUGACCGAGCAACGCCGCGUGAGUGAAGAAGUUUUUCGGAUCGUAAAGCUCUGUUGUUAAGGAAGAACGAGUGUGAGAAUGGAAAGUUCAUGCUGUGACGGUACUUAACCAGAAAGGGACGGCUAACUACGUGCCAGCAGCCGCGGUAAUACGUAGGUCCCGAGCGUUGUCCGGAUUUAUUGGGCGUAAAGCGAGCGCAGGCGGUUAGAAAAGUCUGAAGUGAAAGGCAGUGGCUCAACCAUUGUAGGCUUUGGAAACUGUUUAACUUGAGUGCAGAAGGGGAGAGUGGAAGUCCAUGUGUAGCGGUGAAAUGCGUAGAUAUAUGGAGGAACACCGGUGGCGAAAGCGGCUCUCUGGUCUGUAACUGACGCUGAGGCUCGAAAGCGUGGGGAGCGAACAGG
This 429-nucleotide ribosomal RNA is filed under the name Verrucomicrobiota bacterium. RNAcentral describes it as "Verrucomicrobia bacterium partial 16S ribosomal RNA". It matches the Rfam family "Bacterial small subunit ribosomal RNA", at positions 355 to 776 of the family's 1533-position model. Lineage: Bacteria; Pseudomonadati; Verrucomicrobiota. The record is from RNAcentral.